This 256-nucleotide long non-coding RNA is filed under the name Ananas comosus (pineapple). RNAcentral describes it as "long non-coding RNA (ACOM_LNC009571)". Lineage: Eukaryota; Viridiplantae; Streptophyta; Magnoliopsida; Poales; Bromeliaceae. The record is from RNAcentral.
GUUACGCUGUUCGUAUUACCCUGGGUCGUAUCCCUCUUUCUCCCGUCACCACCUCUUCUCCCCUCACCUAGGUCGUAUCCCUGUUUCUCCCCUCACCACCUCUUCUCACCUCUUCUCCCCUCACCAAACCCAUCGAAACCCUAAAAAUCGGCCCUCGCGCUCCUCCUCCUCCGCCGUAGCACCCGACGCCACGAUCGCCGGGGGAGUUGGCACCAAACGUCGAGGCAGCGGCGGUGGUGUUGGGGGAGGAAUCNUC